RNAcentral lists this long non-coding RNA (1360 nucleotides) under Triticum aestivum (bread wheat). RNAcentral describes it as "long non-coding RNA (TAES_LNC014335)". The record is from RNAcentral. Lineage: Eukaryota; Viridiplantae; Streptophyta; Magnoliopsida; Poales; Poaceae.
UGGGACGACGACCUCAUACUCAAGGUCAUGAGGAAGGAAAAGAAGGGUCCAGGGGAGUACAACAAGCUGCGAGUAAGCAUUCAACACCCCACAUUUUUUUUUCGGUUUUUCACACACGAAACUUUUUAGGCAAGCAUACACUUAGCUCAACCAAAUCAUGCAUAAAUUUGUUGUCAGUGAAGCCACACACACAAAAGGCAGGCUACCAAAAGUAACUGAAUUGGCAAGUUCGACACCAGACAUAGGAUAGAUAUUCAUACUGGAUCAGGCAACACCACACACAUUUUUCAAGCAAUUCACACCAUUAGCACAAGCAAGUCACACAGCCUUUUUCAUAUCAACAUACAUGGUACAACCCACAAAAAUAUCCUAUAUCAAGUCGAAACUGAAAACGAUGUCAAGUCAAAAGCUCGGGGUUAUUGUGCACACUUGGAAGCUUCACCAGCCACCCCCGGUAAAGCUUUGCACAACCACAAAAAUGUAUCAAACUUGUUUAAUCUUGCCUUUCUUGCCAACAAGUUAUUUUUUGUCCUGAAACUUAUAUACAUUUUGCCUACAGCCCGGCAGGACUUUGCCUUGUAUGGCAUUUUGCCUGAAACUUGCACAAGAAGCUUCACAGGAAAACAGGCUUCCCAAGCCACUACCAGGUAAACUUUUGCUUCCCAGCCACCACCAUGUUGCCUACAUCUCAGCAUUUUGCAUGUUACCUGGUUAACGCAAGUGCGGGUCUACAUAGGGAUUCGGAUUGCAAUUGCCAACCGAUUGUUCCCACUAUUGUUGUUUGCAUUUGAAACAUGACCUCUUUGUUGAUUGUAAUGAAGUUGUCCAAAAAUAGAAUAGUUUAUUGCACACAUCCACCCAGGGAGGUGUAUGUCGCAUAUUUUUAAGGAACAAAUGUUUGGUCUAGAAAGUCAGGAGGCAUUUUUUGGACACAAGACUUUGCUUGGUGAUUGCACUCAAGUUGCCUCAAAGAACACAAGCAGUUGCUUGUCUUGUUUUUGGUCUAGACAAAUCAGAACCUAAAUUUUUGAGGAGGAAAUUGCAUGCAUGAAACUCAUAGCAACUUAGCAAGUUCAUAUUGCAUAAACACACACCACCACCAGUUUGUAUCAUACAAGUUCAAGAGGAAGUCAUGUUUUUUGUCUAGAUAGAAAAAGAGUUAGGAUGCAAAUUUUCUGUGCAUGGGACUUGCUUGUUGGUUGCACUGAUGUUCCUGAAAAGAACAACAGUAGUUGCUUUCCUUUGUAUCAUACAUAUUCAAGGGAACACAUAUUUUUGUCUAGGUAGCAAUAGAGUCGGGAUGCAAUUUUUUGUGCAGAGGGCUUGCUUGUUGGUUGCACUGGUGUUGCCUAAAAAGAAU